RNAcentral lists this ribosomal RNA (253 nucleotides) under uncultured bacterium. RNAcentral's name for it is "partial 16S ribosomal RNA". It matches the Rfam family "Bacterial small subunit ribosomal RNA", at positions 524 to 776 of the family's 1533-position model. The record is from RNAcentral.
UACGUAGGGGGCAAGCGUUAAUCGGAAUUACUGGGCGUAAAGCGCACGCAGGCGGUUUGUUAAGUCAGAUGUGAAAGCCCCGGGCUCAACCUGGGAACUGCAUCGGAUACUGGCAAGCUUGAGUCUCGUAGAGGGGGGUAGAAUUCCAGGUGUAGCGGUGAAAUGCGCAGAGAUCUGGAGGAACACCAGUGGCGAAGGCGGCCUCCUGGACGACGACUGACGCUGAGGUGCGAAAGCGUGGGGAGCAAACAGG